GUCCUACGGGGGGCAGCAGUGAGGAAUAUUGGUCAAUGGCCGGAAGGCUGAACCAGCCAAGCCGCGUGAAGGACGAAGGUGCCAAGCAUUGUAAACUUCUUUUGUCAAGGGACAAAAUCAGGCUCGAGAGCCUGACCGAGGGUACUUGAAGAAAAAGCAUCGGCUAACUCCGUGCCAGCAGCCGCGGUAAUACGUAGGGGGCAAGCGUUAUCCGGAUUUACUGGGUGUAAAGGGAGCGUAGACGGCGAAGAAAGUCUGAAGUGAAAGCCCGCGGCUUAACCGCGGAACUGCUUUGGAAACUUUUU
RNAcentral lists this ribosomal RNA (305 nucleotides) under uncultured bacterium. RNAcentral's name for it is "bacterial SSU rRNA". It matches the Rfam family "Bacterial small subunit ribosomal RNA", at positions 335 to 638 of the family's 1533-position model. The record is from RNAcentral.